GGGGAAUAUUGCACAAUGGGGGGAACCCUGAUGCAGCGACGCCGCGUGAGUGAAGAGGUAUCUCGGUAUGUAAAGCUCUAUCAGCAGGGAAGAAAAUGACGGUACCUGACUAAGAAGCCCCGGCUAACUACGUGCCAGCAGCCGCGGUAAUACGUAGGGGGCAAGCGUUAUCCGGAAUUACUGGGUGUAAAGGGUGCGUAGGUGGUAUGGCAAGUCAGAAGUGAAAACCCAGGGCUUAACUCUGGGACUGCUUUUGAAACUGUCAGACUGGAGUGCAGGAGAGGUAAGCGGAAUUCCUAGUGUAGCGGUGAAAUGCGUAGAUAUUAGGAGGAACAUCAGUGGCGAAGGCGGCUUACUGGACUGAAACUGACACUGAGGCACGAAAGCGUGGGGAGCAAAC
RNAcentral lists this ribosomal RNA (400 nucleotides) under uncultured bacterium. RNAcentral's name for it is "bacterial SSU rRNA". It matches the Rfam family "Bacterial small subunit ribosomal RNA", at positions 356 to 773 of the family's 1533-position model. The record is from RNAcentral.